AUGCAGUCGAGCGCCCCUUCGGGGGAGCGGCGGACGGGUUAGUAACGCGUGGGAAUAUGCCCUUCUCUACGGAAUAGCCCAGGGAAACUUGGAUUAAUACCGUAUACGCCCUUAGGGGGAAAGAUUUAUCGGAGAAGGAUUAGCCCGCGUUAGAUUAGAUAGUUGGUGAGGUAACGGCUCACCAAGUCAACGAUCUAUAGCUGGUUUGAGAGGAUGAUCAGCAACACUGGAACUGAGACACGGUCCAGACUCCUACGGGAGGCAGCAGUGGGGAAUCUUGGACAAUGGGCGCAAGCCUGAUCCAGCCAUGCCGCGUGAGUGAAGAAGGCCUUAGGGUCGUAAAGCUCUUUCGCCUGUGAAGAUAAUGACGGUAGCAGGUAAAGAAACCCCGGCUAACUCCGUGCCAGCAGCCGCGGUAAUACGGAGGGGGUUAGCGUUGUUCGGAAUUACUGGGCGUAAAGCGCACGUAGGCGGAUUAGUAAGUUAGGGGUGAAAUCCCAGGGCUCAACCCUGGAACUGCCUCUAAAACUGCUAGUCUUGAGUUCGAGAGAGGUGAGUGGAAUUCCGAGUGUAGAGGUGAAAUUCGUAGAUAUUCGGAGGAACACCAGUGGCGAAGGCGGCUCACUGGCUCGAUACUGACGCUGAGGUGCGAAAGCAUGGGGAGCAAACAGGAUUAGAUACCCUGGUAGUCCAUGCCGUAAACGAUGAAUGCCAGUCGUCGGGUAGCAUGCUAUUCGGUGACGCAGUUAACGCAUUAAGCAUUCCGCCUGGGGAGUACGGUCGCAAGAUUAAAACUCAAAGGAAUUGACGGGGCCCGCACAAGCGGUGGAGCAUGUGGUUUAAUUCGAAGCAACGCGCAGAACCUUACCAUCCUUUGACAUC
Molecule: ribosomal RNA, 882 nt
Filed under: uncultured Alphaproteobacteria bacterium
Lineage: Bacteria; Pseudomonadati; Pseudomonadota; Alphaproteobacteria
Description: bacterial SSU rRNA
Rfam family: Bacterial small subunit ribosomal RNA
Source: RNAcentral